Molecule: transfer RNA, 84 nt
Filed under: Nematostella vectensis (starlet sea anemone)
Lineage: Eukaryota; Metazoa; Cnidaria; Anthozoa; Actiniaria; Edwardsiidae
Rfam family: tRNA
About the family: Transfer RNA (tRNA) molecules are approximately 80 nucleotides in length. Their secondary structure includes four short double-helical elements and three loops (D, anti-codon, and T loops).
Source: Rfam by way of RNAcentral
ACCAGGAUGGCCGAGUGGUUAAGGCGUUGGACUUAAGUUCCAAAUGUACGAAUUUACGCUUGGGUUCGAACCCCACUCCUGGUA